UUUCAGACCAGAACCUUUUGAGAACCUUUUGUGCUGGAAAUGAGCAACACGGUUCAAUAAUGUUGGUGUGUGGACCUGACAGCUCUUUCAUAUAGUGUGUGUGUGCGUGUGUGUGUGUGUGUGUUCUCAGAUGACUUUCUGGAUCAUUCUUCCUCCUCUGAUAUGACUGACCUUAUGGAGCAGAUUAAUAACAGCUUUCCAACCUGUGCUCCACCGAGCCUGUCCUCAAGAUCACAGGCGAUGUGAGGGCUGCUAAUGACGUCGAAGUAAGAAGCGUCGAUGACGCGGUGCGUGAUGUGGCGAAGUCCCCGCUCUCCCAGACGAAGAUGGCCAACCCGGAGUUCCUUGCAUCGUCCUCGAUCCAGCCACAAUUCCACCACGAAUUCCCGACCACCACGUCCAUCAACCCGUCUGUCUGUACUAUGCAAUUGUAAAUUCUGUGAACAUGUAGAUCGAACCUGAUUUGGGUUUUUGCUUGGGAUUUGUACGAACAACACGAUGAUAUUUCGGCUAACGGGGGCUUCGUAACGUAUAACCUGUUCAGCUUUUAUUUCUAUUUUUGUGCACGCGCUCCGGGAACCUCCGUUUACCUCCUUCACGUUUCUCAGAUAUUUAUAAAAAAAAACAAAAAACAAAUGUUGUAGCUGGGAAUGAAGACCACUCGUGUUUUGCCCCUUAAUGAAUCACCUCAUACUGAUAAAUGCAUGUUUCUUCCCAGAAUGCAUCCCUCUGCUGUGUUUCUCGUGUUUACAGCGUAAUCCGUGCCGUCACCCGCGAACUGGUUGGCUGUUCUUGGAAAAAAAAAAUCAUUCCGAUAACGGUACGUGCUGAGUGCUCCGUUGCUCUUCCGACGCCACAGCAAUUUGCCAACGUUAACCUUUUUAAAAAAUAAUAAUAAUAAUAAUAAUUUUAUUAAAGAGUGACACCUCGUACUUUUUAUCCGCUUAUAAUUACAUUUACUGUUGUGGAAAACAAGUUCCUGUUCGAAACCAUACCCCGCCCCCCUUGUGUAAAUACUGUACAUGUUCAGGAAUGCCGAGAUGUUUUAGCCCUGUGUGCCUAUACAGCAUCCAUUCCAAGGAGAGGAUUUACGAGACGGAAAUAUAGAGAGCUCUAAAUUCAGAUUCGACAAAAUUUUAUUAUUAUUUUUUUCCUCUUUGAGUCGAAUAGUUUUCUAAAGUCAAAUCAAAUCAGAAGAAAGCCAUGAUUGCCUUGCUACCUCAGACUUAACAGCGUUCAUUUGCGAGAUUUGUGUUGUUUUUUUGUUUUUUUUGUCAUUAUUUUUCUUUCGCAAAACCACAAACAGAAACCUAAAGCCACAAAUGCUAUAUUUUAAAUAACGUUCCUUGAGAUCACUUAUUUAAUAAGAUCAGGGAUGAAGAUCAAGAUUGACAGAUAAGGCUGAAAAUGAAAAGUCAACGAUUUAAAAAAGAAAAGAAAAGAAAAGGUAAACAUAAAAUUCUGUGGUUGGUCUGUGAAUUUUUUUCAUAGCUUUUUAAUUUUUUCUACAUGGUGUAGUUUGUGCUUUUCCCAGUGAAGCAUUAACACUACUAUGACCUGUCCGAUGUGUCCCCGACU
This is a long non-coding RNA of Ictalurus punctatus (channel catfish), 1578 nucleotides long. NCBI's taxonomy places the organism in Eukaryota, Metazoa, Chordata, Actinopteri, Siluriformes, Ictaluridae. The record is from Ensembl.